CUUCAUGCCAACUGAUGAGGAUUUCUACUUUAGUGUGUAUCAGCACUUGAUAUUCACCAAGUCCAAAGGUCUAAAAACCUGAUAAAUAUGAUAACUACCUCUUCAGCCAAGUUAUUGAUUUUAAAAAAAAAAAGCUCUUGUAAGAAUGCCAACAAGUAGACAGUAGGAAGAGAAAGCUGAAUACAACUCAACAAACACACGUUAAACAACAAACGUAAUAGACAACAGAAGAUUUGAGAACUACAAGAAGAAACAAGGUCCAUUUAGAAGGCUGACCCCCCUAAGGAUUACAUCAUACAGGUUCCUCUCCUGUCUGGAUUCCAGUUGAGCCAAUGAGUGGUACAGCAGAUUAGAAGAUGAGAAGAGAAAAAGAUGAGAAGACUGAGGAUCAGAGGGACUAUGGUACUUUUCUCAGGAUCAGAGAGUCAUCAAACUGUAGGACCAGAAUCUAGAAUCAAUCUGUUAGACAAUAAGGCUCAUGUGUUUAGGAAAAAUAUAAAGGACUGGAAGACUAGGCUUUCCAAGAAUAGGAUUUAGUCAAAAGCAUGUUUGAGGGCCACAGGAGUAAAGAAAAAAAAAGGAUAAGAACAUAAGUAAAGGCACAAAA
This is a long non-coding RNA of Canis lupus familiaris (dog), 607 nucleotides long. RefSeq lists it as uncharacterized. NCBI's taxonomy places the organism in Eukaryota, Metazoa, Chordata, Mammalia, Carnivora, Canidae. The transcript is spliced from 4 exons. The record is from RefSeq and is a predicted model, not a curated record.